CUGGCGUCACGUCUCACCGGGUUGAGCCAUCGACGACACCACGCAGUGACUCGCAGCAGCCGUUGCAGCGUCGGGAACCGCAGAAGAAGGUCCGGUUCGGUAAUGACUGGCGCCUUGACUACCAGGCUGGUGACUCGUUGCUCAGGGAGGUCAUCCUCUGGGACGUCGAUGUCUGCACCAGGCCAGGCAGCCUCGUCUCCUGACAGCCAGGGUUUUCUCGUCCGGCGACGUGUCUCCAAUGAGCGUCUGGAAGCAGGGUCUGGAUCUGCGACACUCGGUUGGCAACAAAGGUCUUCCAGCGGGUGCAGUGUCCGCGAAUCCAGUGAAGAGUGACCUUGGAGUCGGACCACAGGUGCACCGGCGUAGCAGCCAAGCCGAGGGUAGUGCGUACAUGCAACAUGAGCGUGCGUUGCGGAUGUAUACGACGGCGGCGUAUCCUCGCUCCGAUGCAUCGGCAAACCCAUGGAGCUGCAGUUGCGACUGGUCAUCUCCGGUGCUGAGCCAACGAUCCACACGGAUGUGAUCCAGCAACGGAAGUUGAUUCAGCAGUUGUCUCCAGCGGUGUGCGUCCUGAUCAGGCAGCGGAGAGUCCCAAUCCAGCCGUUGAAGCCACGUAGACUGGAUCAGAAUUUUGGCUCGGAUGACGACAGGCGCUAGCCAGCCCAUCGGAUCGAAUAGUCGAGCUGUCUCGGCCAAGACUCGUCUCUUCGUGAGGUCGGUGGUUGAACGCGGACGUAUGGUGAAGGAGAACCAAUCCCCUUGAGGAUGCCAUCGAAGACCCAGGGUGGCGUGGCUCUCUCCUUCCCACGAGCGCGGUCCGCGUUGAAGCCGAUGUUCCGGCGGAAUUCCGGUGAGCACCUGCUGGUUGUUGGCAGCCCACUUUCGCAAAGGAAACCCGCCCGCCAUGC
This is a non-coding RNA of Nylanderia fulva, 908 nucleotides long. NCBI's taxonomy places the organism in Eukaryota, Metazoa, Arthropoda, Insecta, Hymenoptera, Formicidae. The record is from RefSeq and is a predicted model, not a curated record.